UGGGGAAUUUUGGACAAUGGGGGAAACCCUGAUCCAGCCAUCCCGCGUGUGCGAUGAAGGCCUUCGGGUUGUAAAGCACUUUUGGCAGGAAAGAAACGUCGCGGGUUAAUACCCCGCGGAACUGACGGUACCUGCAGAAUAAGCACCGGCUAACUACGUGCCAGCAGCCGCGGUAAUACGUAGGGUGCAAGCGUUAAUCGGAAUUACUGGGCGUAAAGCGUGCGCAGGCGGUUCGGAAAGAAAGAUGUGAAAUCCCAGAGCUUAACUUUGGAACUGCAUUUUUAACUACCGGGCUAGAGUGUGUCAGAGGGAGGUGGAAUUCCGCGUGUAGCAGUGAAAUGCGUAGAUAUGCGGAGGAACACCGAUGGCGAGGCAGCCUCCUGGGAUAACACUGACGCUCAUGCACGAAAGCGUGGGGAGCAAACAGGAUUAGAUACCCUGGUAGUCCACGCCCUAAACGAUGUCAACUAGCUGUUGGGGUCUUCGGACCUUGGUAGCGCAGCUAACGCGUGAAGUUGACCG
Molecule: ribosomal RNA, 522 nt
Filed under: uncultured bacterium
Lineage: Bacteria
Description: partial 16S ribosomal RNA
Rfam family: Bacterial small subunit ribosomal RNA
Source: RNAcentral